RNAcentral lists this ribosomal RNA (480 nucleotides) under uncultured bacterium. RNAcentral's name for it is "partial 16S ribosomal RNA". It matches the Rfam family "Bacterial small subunit ribosomal RNA", at positions 29 to 507 of the family's 1533-position model. The record is from RNAcentral.
AUGAACGCUGGCGGCGUGCUUCACACAUGCAAGUCGAACGAAGCACUUUAUUUGAUUUCCUUCGGGACUGAUUAUUUUGUGACUGAGUGGCGGACGGGUGAGUAACGCGUGGGUAACCUGCCUUGUACAGGGGGAUAACAGUUGGAAACGGCUGCUAAUACCGCAUAAGCGCACAGCAUCGCAUGAUGCAGUGUGAAAAACUCCGGUGGUAUAAGAUGGACCCGCGUUGGAUUAGCUAGUUGGUGAGGUAACGGCCCACCAAGGCGACGAUCCAUAGCCGACCUGAUAGGGUGACCGGCCACAUUGGGACUGAGACACGGCCCAAACUCCUACGGGAGGCAGCAGUGGGGAAUAUUGCACAAUGGGCGAAAGCCUGAUGCAGCGACGCCGCGUGAGCGAAGAAGUAUUUCGGUAUGUAAAGCUCUAUCAGCAGGGAAGAUAAUGACGUUACCUGACUAAGAAGCACCGGCUAAAUACGUG